GACUCCAUGGCCCAACGGAUAAGGUGAUGGUCUAUGAACCCAGAGACUCUGGAUUCGAUCCCUAGUGGAGUCG
This 73-nucleotide transfer RNA is filed under the name Ipomoea nil (Japanese morning glory). It matches the Rfam family "tRNA". Rfam says of the family: Transfer RNA (tRNA) molecules are approximately 80 nucleotides in length. Their secondary structure includes four short double-helical elements and three loops (D, anti-codon, and T loops). Lineage: Eukaryota; Viridiplantae; Streptophyta; Magnoliopsida; Solanales; Convolvulaceae. The record is from Rfam by way of RNAcentral.